AAAAAAAGGGAAGGAAAACCCUGUCUUCCUCACGCAGUCCUAAAUAAACAAUCAUCAAAAAGAGAAAAGACCAAAGAAGAAGAAAGGAAGGAAGGAGAAAAAAUCAACUGAUUGGCCUUUGCGCUUGUCCAAAGCCAUCCGUCACAGGUUUAUUGGCAACUCCUGUUUCCCUUCCGAUCCUCAGCUAUUUCACUGAUGAUUGGCCUUUGCGCUUGUCCAAAGCAAUCCGUCACAGGUUUAUUGGCAACUCCUGUUUCCCUUCCGAUCCUCAGCUAUUUCACUGAAGCCGCCAUUCAAUUCACACAUAAUUACACACAUACGUGCACCAUAUUAUUUCACACAGUUCUAGGGUUUGAUUGUUUAUAUUUAGCU
RNAcentral lists this long non-coding RNA (372 nucleotides) under Nicotiana benthamiana. RNAcentral describes it as "long non-coding RNA (NBEN_LNC034666)". The record is from RNAcentral. Lineage: Eukaryota; Viridiplantae; Streptophyta; Magnoliopsida; Solanales; Solanaceae.